This is a long non-coding RNA of Rattus rattus (black rat), 2915 nucleotides long. RefSeq lists it as uncharacterized. NCBI's taxonomy places the organism in Eukaryota, Metazoa, Chordata, Mammalia, Rodentia, Muridae. The record is from RefSeq and is a predicted model, not a curated record. The transcript is spliced from 2 exons.
AGAGCAAAGAAAACCACUGAGGAGUGGUAAGGUAAUACCGCGUCUCCUGGCUUCUAAGUUCCUACUGCCUGAACGACGCACCUUCGACUUAUGAACCUCUUUGGCAGGAAGACAAAACAAAGACAUCAUAUUAGAUCAAGGGACUGUUGGGGGUCUACCCUUCAUUAUGUUGCAUCAUGGGUAUCAUUCAGAGAGAUUGGAUGCUUCUCAAAAUGGCAGGUGACCCAAUCUAUUUAUUUUAAAGAGAAGCAGGAACACAAAGACAAAGGAUGAAUUACUUGCACAUGGAAGCAACGCGUCUGGGAAGCCACAUUUCAAUCUUACGCAAUCAUGGGCCGGUAGCCCGUCUCAGUGGUACCUGAUACUCAGUGCUGUCUCCAUCCCUGCUCUCCGCAUCCACCUGUGUGGCAUCCAUGCCCUCCUGAGGGCCGUCCUGGCUCAAGUCAACCGAUGGCGUACUGCUGCUCUUAGGUGUCACAUCUUCCAUGAGGUCGAUGCUGGCAGGCGAUGACCAUGGCGUGCUUGCUGAAGACGAUGCUCGCCGCCUCCGAGACUAGACAGAAGGAUGAGAUGGAGACGCAAUGAGGCGCACAACUAGUAUCCAACAGGUUCUCAGAGAAGCACGAAUGAAGGAACAAAUCAGUACCCCAGAAGACAGGGUUACAGGAACUGGCAGCCAUUUGACCCCAAGGCAGAGAGCAGAGACAGAAUAGUGUCACACAGACACAGUGUGUGUUCGAUAACAGGGGCUCUGAAGCUGCGUUCGGAGGGCAGGGUCCCUGGUUAACUGUGUCCAUCUGGAAACAGAAGAGUGUUCUGGCCCUGCUGGGGUUGCCUCAAGACAGCAGGAAAAAAGACACCAGACAAAGGUGAUGACACCAGUGGCUUCCGGCUCAAUUCCAAGGUGGGCUAGAGACCCGAGCACUUGGAAACUCUUUCCUCCAAGUCGCUCCAAGUAGGAUGAGUCAGGAGAGAAAGUAAGAAGCCAGACCCUGGAAAGCAGGAGUGUGUGAAGAAAGCACCCGUUAUACACACAACGGCACUGUGUUAGUGAGUGAAGCAGAUCUCGCAAUCAGAAACCGGACCAACCUUGGUAGCUGGGAACUCCACGGGGUACUCCUGAACGUGGUAGCGGCCCUGCCGGCCUCGCGUGAUUCUGGGGGAGGUUCUUUGCCUCUCCAGGCUGGAGAUACUGUUGCUGUUUCGGGUUCGGACCUGAAAGAAUAAACACUGGGCCUUAGGGGAAGAGAUGCAUGGGGCCCAACAAAGGCUCCCAAAGGACUAAGACCGUGAGAAGGCCUCGCUCAAUUCAACCUGGAGGUUAGACGGCUGGAUGUAAUCUCCGGGAUGUAUUUAACAAGGGCUGUCUUUGAAGGAGACCAUCAGACCGUUCCAUGACACAACAUACAUUUGGCCACCUGAACUGGCAGCAGCAAGUAGGGACUGAAUUGUUUGCCUUCCUAAUGCUGCAAGGCUUAAAUACAGCUCCUCGACUUGUGGUGACCCCUCGACCACAUUAUUUGUUGCGAUUUUGUAACCACAAUUUUGCUGUUAUGAAUCACAGUGUAACUGAUAAUGGAGGACUAUCUGAUAUGAGACCCUGUGAAAGGGGUCUUCAAGCCACAUCCCCCAAGGCGUUGAGACCCACAGUUUGAGAACCAUUGCCUUAAACCAAGUAUUCCAUCAAGAAGCACAGGCCUUGAUACCGGCUUAUUCAAGGCACUGAAUGAGGGCAGAGCAGAAAGUGCAUUUUCUCAGUUCGGUGUGCGCGUGCCUGUUGCUGCAAACUCUAUAUAAACAUUAUGGUUAAUCAGGUGUGGGGGGUGUCACCUGCCUGUACUCACAUCACAGAAGACACAGAAGACACAGGAGACAGCCUGAAACCCACCUUCGGCUCAAGAACAGAGUUGAAGUUACUGGGAAUUGUCUCCAGUGUGUAAGACAAGGAAAGUACAAAUCCACAGAAGGUGAUGUCACUGCAGUAGCCGCCAUGUUCUUGCUGACCCGCUGGGACUUCCCAUUCAAUAGACUUUUUUCUGUUUUUAGCUCUAACUGAUAUAUGUCCAUUAUUUUGUUUGACAUAGUGUAUGAGUACAUUGAACUAGAUUAGAAAUCAAUACAUAAAAGGCCUAGUCAACGUCUUCUUAAGCCAGGGCAUAUGCUCAGAGAAAACAACCCACAGAGGUGGCAGGAACCCCAAUCAACCACCCAAAAAAUGACAAGCUCACAGUAGUCAGGAGUGAACCUGUUCUCUCUCUUGGACACGGAAUGUUGAAUACAUAACAUAACAGCAGUGGCAGGUGUGGAAGCCUAUGUUCUUAAUCCCAGCAACUGCAGAGGCAAAUGCAGGCGGAUCUCUGAGUUCAAAGCCAGCUCAGUCUACAGAGUGAGUCCCAGCUGGGGGUACACAGAGAAACCCUGUCUCAAAAACCAAACAUACAAAGGAUGCCAGCGAUGACUUAGCUUAGCAGAUACUUUCCACAAAGUCGACUCACUUGAGAGUUGUGCAUAGAGCUAAACUGGUAGAAUGCCUGCUCCGAGUAAGGUCUGGGUUUGAGCCCUAGCCCCACACCAAACCAGAUGUGAUGGUGUGUUUGGUGCAUGCCUGCAGUGCAACCAGAAGCAGGUCAGGAUCUACACAGUGAGUUAGGGUCACUGCUGAGGCAGUGCAACACGGAUCCGCCUGCCUCUACUGAGUAGGUUCUGGUGUUCCAGAACCUCCACACACCCAAGCUUAAAGCUCAUCCCGGGGGCUGGAGAGAUGGCUCAGUGGUUAAGAGCACUGACUGCUCUUCCAGAGGUCCUGAGUUCAAUUCCCAGCAACCACAUGGUGGCUCACAACCAUCUUUAAUGAGAUCUGAUACCCUUUUCUGGUGUCUGAGACAGCGACAGUGUAGUCACAUAAAAUAAAUCUU